Molecule: ribosomal RNA, 488 nt
Filed under: uncultured bacterium
Lineage: Bacteria
Description: bacterial SSU rRNA
Rfam family: Bacterial small subunit ribosomal RNA
Source: RNAcentral
GAUGAACGCUAGCGGCAGGCCUAACACAUGCAAGUCGAGGGGUAGUUACUUUCGGGUAAUGAGACCGGCGCACGGGUGCGUAACGCGUAUGCAAUCUACCUUUUACAGGGGAAUAGCCCAGAGAAAUUUUGGAUUAAUGCCCCAUAGUAUGUAUGAAUCGCAUGGUUUAUACAUUAAAGUUCCAACGGUAAAAGAUGAGCAUGCGUCCCAUUAGUUAGUUGGUAAGGUAACGGCUUACCAAGACGAUGAUGGGUAGGGGUCCCUGAGAGGGAGAUCCCCCCACACUGGUACUGAGACACGGACCAGACUCCUACGGGAGCAGCAGUGAGGAAUAUUGGACAAUGGGCGCAAGCCUGAUCCAGCCAUGCCGCGUGCAGGAAGAAGCAUCUAUGGUGUGUAAAACUGCUUUUGUACGGGAAGAAACACUCCUACGUGUAGAGCUUGACGGUACCGUAAGAAUAAGGAUCGGUUAAACUCCGUGCCAGCAG